RNAcentral lists this ribosomal RNA (484 nucleotides) under uncultured bacterium. RNAcentral describes it as "partial 16S ribosomal RNA". It matches the Rfam family "Bacterial small subunit ribosomal RNA", at positions 29 to 507 of the family's 1533-position model. The record is from RNAcentral.
AUUGAACGAUGGAGGAAGGGAGAAAAAAGGAAAGGCGAGAGGAGGAAGGGAGCGGGAGGCGGGAGGGAGCGGCGGACGGGUGAGGAAGGCCUAGGAAUCGGGGCGGUAGUGGGGGAUAACGUCCGGAAAGGGGCGCUAAUACCGCAUAAGGCCUGAGGGAGAAAGGGGGGGAGCUUCGGACCUCACGCUAUCAGAUGAGCCUAGGUCGGAUUAGCUAGUUGGGGGGGUAAAGGCCUACCAAGGCGACGAGCGGGACAGGGUCUGAGCGGAUGAUCAGUCACGCUGGAACUGAGCCACGGUCCCGACUCCUCCUGGAGGCAGCAGUGGGGAAUAUUGGACAAUGGGCGAAAGCCUGAUCCAGCCAUGCCGCGUGUGUGAAGCAGGUCUUCGGAUUUUAACUCCCUUUCCGUUGGGAGGAAGGGCAGUCCGUUCCUCCCUUCCUGUUUUGACGUUACCCACAGACUAAGCCCCCCCUCCCUUCGUG